AGGGCCCGCGAGCCCGGCAUGAUCCAAACGAGAGGCCCUAGGGGUGAAGCCACGUCACGGUGCCGGGGGCACCGAGCAAGGCGCGGCCGGGCAACUCCCGCCCGAACCCGACAGCUCACCUCGCAGGCGUCAGGAGAGGAUGA
This 143-nucleotide non-coding RNA is filed under the name Streptomyces sparsogenes. RNAcentral describes it as "c-di-AMP sequence". It matches the Rfam family "c-di-AMP riboswitch aptamer (ydaO/yuaA leader)". Rfam says of the family: This family represents a conserved RNA structure found upstream of the ydaO and yuaA genes in Bacillus subtilis and related genes in other bacteria. Lineage: Bacteria; Bacillati; Actinomycetota; Actinomycetes; Kitasatosporales; Streptomycetaceae. The record is from RNAcentral.